Molecule: ribosomal RNA, 301 nt
Filed under: uncultured bacterium
Lineage: Bacteria
Description: partial 16S ribosomal RNA
Rfam family: Bacterial small subunit ribosomal RNA
Source: RNAcentral
CAGUCGCCGCGGGAAUACAGAGGGUGCGAGCGUUAAUCGGAUUUACUGGGCGUAAAGCGUGCGUAGGCGGCUUCUUAAGUCGGAUGUGAAAUCCCUGAGCUUAACUUAGGAAUUGCAUUCGAUACUGGGAAGCUAGAGUAUGGGAGAGGAUGGUAGAAUUUCAGGUGUAGCGGUGAAAUGCGUAGAGAUCUGGAGGAAUACCGAUGGCGAAGGCAGCCAUCUGGCCUAAUACUGACGCUGAGGUACGAAAGCAUGGGGAGCAAACAGGAUUAGAUACCCCAGUAGUCCCUGUCUCUUAUAC